Molecule: ribosomal RNA, 254 nt
Filed under: uncultured bacterium
Lineage: Bacteria
Description: partial 16S ribosomal RNA
Rfam family: Bacterial small subunit ribosomal RNA
Source: RNAcentral
UACGGGGGGAGCAAGCGUUGUUCGGAUUUACUGGGCGUAAAGGGCGCGUAGGCGGUCAGCACAAGUCAGUUGUGACAUCUCCGGGCUUAACUCGGAAAGGUCAACUGAUACUGUGCGACUAGAGUGCGGAAGGGGCAACUGGAAUUCUUGGUGUAGCGGUGAAAUGCGUAGAUAUCAGGAGGAACACCGGUGGCGAAGGCGCACACCUGGCCCGAUACUGACGCUGAGGCGCGAAAGCUAGGGGAGCAAACGGG